RNAcentral lists this ribosomal RNA (428 nucleotides) under uncultured bacterium. RNAcentral describes it as "bacterial SSU rRNA". It matches the Rfam family "Bacterial small subunit ribosomal RNA", at positions 354 to 796 of the family's 1533-position model. The record is from RNAcentral.
GUUAGGAAUUUUGCGCAAUGGGGGAAACCCUGACGCAGCAACGCCGCGUGAAGGAUGAAGGCUUUCGGGUUGUAAACUUCUUUUAGCAGGAAAGAACACAAUGACGGUACCUGCAGAAAAAGCACCGGCUAACUCUGUGCCAGCAGCCGCGGUAAUACAGAGGGUGCAAGCGUUAUUCGGAAUUACUGGGCAUAAAGAGCGCGUAGGCGGUCUAAUAAGUCUGAUGUGAAAUCCCUGGACUCAAUUCAGGAAGUGCAUCGGAUACUGCUAGACUAGAGUGCAGGAGAGGAGAGCGGAAUUCCUGGUGUAGAGGUGAAAUUCGUAGAUAUCAGGAGGAACAACAGUGGCGAAGGCGGCUCUCUGGACUGUAACUGACGCUGAGGCGCGAAAGCGUGGGGAGCAAACAGGAUUAGAUACCCGGGUAGUCC